This is a long non-coding RNA of Scylla paramamosain (green mud crab), 4558 nucleotides long. RefSeq lists it as uncharacterized. The record is from RefSeq and is a predicted model, not a curated record. NCBI's taxonomy places the organism in Eukaryota, Metazoa, Arthropoda, Malacostraca, Decapoda, Portunidae. The transcript is spliced from 4 exons.
UUUUAUUUAUUUGUUUAUUUCUAAAUUAGUUCGUGUAUCAGUGUAUUUAUGUAGACGAGGAUUAAGCUCUGUACAAGGUGCGCAAGCCGCACGUCUUUGUGACGUGGCAGUGGGGAGGUGAGGUGAGGUGGCAGCAGGGUGAUGAGGUGGCGACGAACUGUCAGCCAGGGUUAGUUGCUGUCCGCCCCUACCUGAAGUGUGUUGUGAUGGAUCACUGGAUGUAACAUUUAUUCAAUACUUGGGAUUAUUGUAUUAUGCUGGUAUGUAUGGCUAUGUUUGGUUAUAAUAGUACUGUGUGGGGGUUUAUCAGCUGGUGUUCACUUCAAACAUUUGUGAUGUUCAUCGACAAAAUGUUUGUAUUAGUGAUGAUCUUUUAUGAUGACAGUGUUAAUGUGAUUGUGCGGUCGGCUAUUAAGAUUGAUAGUUACUCAGGGAAUAUUUCAUGUAUUACAGUUUGAAUCCAAUUACUGGUUCGGAAAGUUCAUGGAGGCAAUCCAUAUGCGGCUGGAGCUACCGUUGUUUGCUUCAUGGUAAUCAUCAGUGUUUCCUUUGCUAAAAUGAACCUAACACAUAGCUCGGGGUAGGGCCAACUCGGCCCUUUUCCAUCUCGGCCCAUUAUGAAAAGGCAACUCGGACCAUCUUGUGGACCAACUCGGACCAUUCUCAUUUUCUGAAAUACCAAGUCGGACCACCAUGUUUGCCGACUCGGACCAUCAUAAACUGUGGGCAGUGUUGCCAACCUCUACAGACGUCUCCGCCCUACACACUUACUGAAAUUACCCUACAUUUGCCUUCAUUACCCUACGACUCGGGAGGAAAAAACAAAUUGUCAUAAUACUGGCGCAGCCGUAAUUAUUAAAUUAUUAUUAUUAAAAUUCCACUGUAAACUACAUGUAAGCAAUACAUAAGCUAAUUAUCUCUUUAAUCACGAAUCAGUAACCGCUUCAUUUGAGCGUGGGAAAAAAAUCUCGACAAGCUGCACGUGGCUUCACGUAUGAACGUGUAUUAUCACUACAUUUGUUAGAUUCAAACCAUCAUAAACUAUCGCACAGAGGGGAGCAGGUCGUUUCGGCCGUGAGCACUCUAGGCCUAGAGUCGUUUAGGCCGUGAUCCCUUUACGCCGAGAGUCGUUUAGGCCGCGACUCUGUAGGCCGUGGGUCGUUUAGGCCGUAAUACUGAGAUCCUUUUUAUAGUUUUUAUAGUGCAGUCGAUGCUGGAGGACUACUGUGGAGGCGAGAAGUGUGACGUGAUUGCAUGCUAAUGAGUUUUAUUGAUACUCUUGAUAAUGUAUCGAGAGAUCGAUACCUCCAUAAAAUAAAGAUAAUAAAUGGAAGAGACCUAUAUACAGUGGAAGAGACCUAUAUGCUGUGGAAACUAUGUUCCGUAGCGUACAUACACACAUAUUAAUCGUUUUAUGAGGUACUGCAGGAAGUGCACGAAACCCAGUCAUUGAAAAUACCGGGUUUCACCGCUCCCAUUAAUCAGCUCAAGAUACACCAUUAUCACAUUUCCUGUUCUGCCACCUCUCACACCUGUGUCGCACAGCAAACCUUGCCGUGUCCGUACAAGUGCAAUUACAAUUACGAAACCUACAUACUAAUUUUGAAACAGUCUCAAUUAGUUAAUUCAAAAUACUACUAAAUUCGAAACCUAUAAUUUCGAAAGUCUCAAAACACUGUCUUGCUUACUUAGUUGAUGUGUUGAAAUCAAAUUCUGCGUAUUCGUUAUUCCCUCACACCUCAUCGCUCAGGAUGCCUACCACAUUUCCUCGUGUUGUUUGCUCUCGACGUGUACGAUUCAACCAGCAUGCUUUGCAGUGUGACCAUUGUCAAGAACGGCAGCACAGACUCUCGGCCUAAAGGGAUCACGGCCUAACCAACUUGAACUCGGACAGAGAAGAGUGCUUCACACACUUGUCAGAUUCAAACCAUCAUAAACUAUCGCACAGAGAAGAGUGCUUCACACAUGUGUGAUUCUUCGUUCACUCACACGAUGUCCAGGCCAGAUAUCACUUGUACACGGCAGAAGGCAGUCACGGCAGAAGGCAGUCUGAUCAUGGACAAGUGUUUGGUGUGCAAAGACGUAGCGCGUCCUCGACAGGAGGCAUUGUUGUGUGAUGGAUGUAAAUCGUGGCAACACAGAACCUGUAAGGCUGGGAUUUCAAGGGAGGACUAUAGAAGAGCUGUAAGGGAGGGUCUUGACGUGAAUUGGAGCUGCACAACUUGCUCUUCUGUACAAGACAUCGCUGUACAUGACUGCCCUGAGGAUCAUCUACCUACUCCGACCCAGGCGUUAGUCACGGUUAGUGGAUGAUAUAAAUUCUGAAACUUGUCUAGACGAAGACACCUUGGACAACGACACUUUGGACUGCUCUGAGGCUCAUCCACCUAUUAUAACGUAUGAAAAAAUGUGUGCAUCUUCACAAAGGGGCAAACAAACUUCUGGACAGUCUACGAUUUUCAUACACAUUUAAAAGAAAAACAAAUGUUGGUGUUCAUUGGCGCUGUGCAGUGCGUACGUAAUAAAAAGGUUACCUGUAACAUGAUGGUAAAGGAAGUGAACGGAGUGUUUAUCAGAGGAGCCAACGAACAUUCACACCCACCGGAAGCAUGUCCUUUGACUACAAGCAUGGUUUCAAAGUUAAUUAAAGACAAAGCAAUGGAUGCUGUAUUUCGCCCAGCUUUAGAAAUCGUGGAGGAAGUGCUUCUUGAGCACGUUGAUCCAACAAAGCCUACUGCCUCGCUACCUGCACCGGUGAAUCUAGCUCGCCAAGCAAACAGGAAGCGGCGAGCUAACAGACCUGCUGAGCCCAGUGACCUAACUUUUUGUAUUAGUGAGGAGCACAUUCCACCUAAAUUUCUUAAAGCAGAUAUAAGUAUAGGGGACAGACGCCACCUAUUGUUUGCAACACAAGAACAGCUUCAGUUACUUGCUAAAGCAAGAAACUGGUAUGUUGAUGGAACUUUUAAAGUAGUGAGGCGACCCUUUACCCAGCUUUUUAGUAUUCACGCAUUUAUGAAGUGCGAUGGUAACGUAAAACAAACGCCUCUGUUGUUUGUGUUAAUGUCGGGUAAGAGAUGUAAAGAUUAUAGGAUAAUUUUUAGUAAACUCAAAGAAAUUUUAGAUGGACAAUUAAAAGUAAAAGAAGUUAUCCUUGAUUUUGAACAAAGUAUUUGGCGUGCUAUCCCAGAAGUUUUCCCACAUGUAGUUAUGCGUGGUUGUGCAUUUCACUGGGGAGAAGCAGUUUGGAGGAAGGCGCAAGUUCUUGGCCUCCAGUCUGCUUACACACAUGAUAGCAAAACCUACAAAUUUGUAAGACAGCUGUUUUCUCUGCCGUAUGUACCUGAUGAUCACAUAGAAGGACUUUUUAUAAGAUUCUGUAGAAAAGCAGCUGGGUCACAACCACUCUUAUUUAGAGUACAUAAACAGUACAUGGAUUACGUCAGAAAUGUGGCCUCCCAAAGUUUGGUGUGUAUUUGAUCGAAGUGUAAGAACUAACAAUGACGUUGAAGGAUGGCAUUACAGACUUAAUAUGAAAGCACGUCAAGGCCAACUGAACUUCUAUACUUUAAUAACCCUACUACACACACAGGCUAGACUUGUAACGCUUCAUGUAAAGUUUAUAAAUGAUGGAAAGGUGUUGGCGUCACCAAAAAAAUAAAUAUACAAAACACGGACGACUAGUCAUGCUUUGGGAGGAAUUUUCUCUGGGCACUAGAACAGCAAAAAGCUUACUGAAAGCUGCCUCUCAUCAUAUUGCUGUGAAUAUGUAAUGACUUGAUUUUUCAUGAAAUACUCUAUAGUUUUAUUUUCUAAACUGACUUUUGCAUGUUUUUAGACUACAAUUUUAAUUGUAUUUUACUGACUUUUGCAUGUUUUUAGAGCAUAAUUUUAAUUGUAUUUUAUCGUGAAAUAAGUCAAUUUUGAGCUGCUGAAUUAUUAUUUAACUUUUAAACAUGGUCCAAGUUGGUGGUCCGAGAUGGUUAUCGUGGUCCGAGUUAGUAUAGACCAGGGCCGAGUUGGUGAUGGUCCGAGUUGGGGGUGUAGCCUACAGCUCUACUGACUAUUUAAUUUCAUUGUCUACCACCAUUCUCACUAACAGCGGCGAAAAGAGACUGGGUUAUAACCCAAUCAAUUUCUCUCUUCUUUUCUACUGACUGUAUUAUUUUAGUGUCCACCUCCACAUCUAGCAAAAAAAAAAAAAAAAAAGUAUAACCAAGGGAAUUUGUCUCCACGUCUCCACUGACUAUUUAGUUUCUGAAGUGGAAAGCAUUAGUACACACUCUGUUCGCUAGAAUACACGUCAUCGACUGUCACAGUAUUUACCACCAGGCAGUAAUGGAAAUCUUGUCAAUAAAUCCUUUGUGAUGUGUGACGCCAAACCAACGACAUCUACAACAAUUUUCUUUUUUUUUUUUCAUUAAUUUGUUCUUUUACUCUCUUUUUUCACAUGACUGGGAAAGUUUACAUCCCUUAGUAUUUUCUCCCUAUCAUAUUACACUUUUUGAUUCACUCCUUGUCUGAUAACUUUAAACUUACCUAUCAGAUUUUUGAGAAA